Mastomys coucha (southern multimammate mouse) is the source of this 395-nucleotide long non-coding RNA. RefSeq lists it as uncharacterized. The transcript is spliced from 2 exons. The record is from RefSeq and is a predicted model, not a curated record. NCBI's taxonomy places the organism in Eukaryota, Metazoa, Chordata, Mammalia, Rodentia, Muridae.
AUUGCGCCCACAGUCAGGAAGUGGAGAAUGAUGAUGGCUGGUCCGAGGCUGGAUUUCUCCUGUCGAUGCAGUCCAAGACCUCACCCCCUCCAACUGUACCAUCCACAGAAAUUGGAUCAAUGUAUUCCAGCAGAGGACAGACUUUGUCUUUAUCUUUAGAUACAGAUUCCCCAAUCAUAGUUUAUUAAUAAACAUCUAACAAGAUACCAUAUUGAGGAUUGGAGAGGUGGCUCAAUGGUUUAGACACUCGCUGCUUUUCCAGAGAACUCGGAUUUAAUUCCCAGCACCCACAUGGCAGCACCGUCUGCAGCUCCAGUUCUGAGGAAUCCGACACCCUCACAGACAAACAUGCAGGCAAAGCAUCAAUGCACAUAAAAAAUAAAUUGUUUAAAAAA